AUGUCAAAAAGCCAUUUGUACUUUAAUGGCGGAAGUCUAGAAUACUUUAAACAAAACAAUAAGAAAAAAAGAGACUCUGCAGUCUUAUUUCCUCUAGCUGCAUGAAAAUGUUUGAAUUAAGGAAGAAAUCAAAAGUCCAACCCUAAGGAAAAUGGAAUGUUAACUGCUUUUGAAUUCCCCUAGGCUCGAGAUUCGAGGGUUCUAGACUGUGGAAAAAUUCUUCCUCAGUCCCUGCUAUGAGGCUGUAUUGCAUUGUAGAAAGAGCUAUUGACUCACUUUCAGAGGCUGCAGGCUGGAUCCAAGCUCUGCCACUAACUGACCUAGGCAGGUCCUAAUACCGUCCUUGAAUUCAGUUUCUCCAUCAAGAAAUCAAGGAUCAAAUUAAAUGGUUUCUUCUAGCGUUUUCGUCUGUGACUCAGCGCUCAAUGUAUCUCCAACGGUCUACGCAUAUAUUUGCCUUUCUUCCAAAGCUCUUCUCUGGGUGAAGCUUUGCGUAGAUUGGGCACAAAGUUCAAUUAAUUACCGCCGGUCACCGGAACAGAAUGUAAUUACCGCCUCAAAGGAUGACCAAGCUGCCUUCUCUUGAGAGACUAACCGCGGAGAGACACUUCAGAGCUGCCUACCUGCGCCAUCGGCCCCGCACUGCUGCCCAGCGGCUCCUGGGGUCAACGGAGGGCCCAGUUUGCGUCAGUGCCCUUAAAUCUUCCACGUUCUCAUUGCCUGACAAAAACUGAAAUCAGAUUACACACUGAAAGCACAAGACCAGUCCUUGUUCGCUGCAUAAGAUCAUUUAAACCCCUAAGUGCUUGAUUCAAAUUUUAAUAAACACCUUUUCGAAGGUUCUAGCAUGUUUGGAGGAGAGGAGACACAAGCUGCCCUGUAAUCAGGCACUAGUUAGGAAGAGGAAUCAACCCCUUUGGUUUCAUUACAGCUUCCUCUCUGGCACCAACCACACAAUUCUCACAUUCUCUUUUUCUUUGUGUUCACUAACAUUUGGAGCACUUUAUGCAUGAGAUGGCUUUCAUGAGACAUAAUGAAAAGUGUGGACAGAACAG
RNAcentral lists this long non-coding RNA (1055 nucleotides) under Equus caballus (horse). Its description in RNAcentral is "lncRNA (ENSECAG00000046599.1)". The record is from RNAcentral. Lineage: Eukaryota; Metazoa; Chordata; Mammalia; Perissodactyla; Equidae.